This 379-nucleotide ribosomal RNA is filed under the name uncultured bacterium. RNAcentral describes it as "bacterial SSU rRNA". It matches the Rfam family "Bacterial small subunit ribosomal RNA", at positions 28 to 404 of the family's 1533-position model. The record is from RNAcentral.
GACGAACGCUGGCGGCGUGCUUAACACAUGCAAGUCGAGCGGUAAGGCCCUUUCGGGGGUACACGAGCGGCGAACGGGUGAGUAACACGUGGGUGACCUGCCCUCAGCUCUGGGAUAAGCCUGGGAAACCGGGUCUAAUACCGGAUAUGACUCCAUGACGCAUGGUUGUGGGGGUGGAAAGCCUUGUGCGGCUGAGGAUGGGCCCGCGGCCUAUCAGCUUGUUGGUGGGGUGAUGGCCUACCAAGGCGACGACGGGUAGCCGGCCUGAGAGGGCGACCGGCCACACUGGGACUGAGACACGGGCCCAGACUCCUACGGGAGGCAGCAGGUGGGGAAUCUUGCGCAAUGGGCGAAAGCCUGACGCAGCGACGCCGCGUGA